AGUGAACGCUGGCGGUAGGCCUAACACAUGCAAGUCGAACGGCAGCACAGUAAGAGCUUGCUCUUACGGGUGGCGAGUGGCGUACGGGAGAGGAAUACAUCGGAAUCUACUUUUUCGUGGGGGAUAACGUAGGGAAACUUACUCUAAUACCGCAUACGCCGUACGGGUGAAAGCAGGGGAUCUUCGGACCUUGCGCGAAUGAAUGAGCCGAUGUGGGAUUAGCUAGUUGGCGGGCUAAAGGCCCACCCAGGCGACGAUCCGUAGCUGGUCUGAGAUGAUGAUCAGCGACACUGGAGCUGAGACACGGUCAAGACUCCUACGGGAGGGAGCAGUGGGGAAUAUUGGACAACGGGCGCAAACCUGAUCCAGCCAUACCGCGUGGGUGAAGAAGGCCUUCGGGGUGUAAAGCCCUUUUGUUGGGAAAGAAAAGCAGCAGGUUAAUACCCCGCUGUUCUGACGGUACCCAAAGAAUAAGCACCGGCUAACUUCGUG
RNAcentral lists this ribosomal RNA (492 nucleotides) under uncultured bacterium. RNAcentral's name for it is "partial 16S ribosomal RNA". It matches the Rfam family "Bacterial small subunit ribosomal RNA", at positions 29 to 507 of the family's 1533-position model. The record is from RNAcentral.